This 622-nucleotide ribosomal RNA is filed under the name Vibrio sp. HR07-15. Its description in RNAcentral is "partial 16S ribosomal RNA". It matches the Rfam family "Bacterial small subunit ribosomal RNA", at positions 97 to 714 of the family's 1533-position model. Lineage: Bacteria; Pseudomonadati; Pseudomonadota; Gammaproteobacteria; Vibrionales; Vibrionaceae. The record is from RNAcentral.
GGCGGACGGGUGAGUAAUGCCUANGAAAUUGCCCUGAUGUGGGGGAUAACCAUUGGAAACGAUGGCUAAUACCGCAUAACGCCUACGGGCCAAAGAGGGGGACCUUCGGGCCUCUCGCGUCAGGAUAUGCCUAGGUGGGAUUAGCUANUUGGUGAGGUAAGGGCUCACCAAGGCGACGAUCCCUAGCUGGUCUGAGAGGAUGAUCAGCCACACUGGAACUGAGACACGGUCCAGACUCCUACGGGAGGCAGCAGUGGGGAAUAUUGCNCAAUGGGCGCAAGCCUGAUGCAGCCAUGCCGCGUGUGUGAAGAAGGCCUUCGGGUUGUAAAGCACUUUCAGUCGUGAGGAAGGNANUGUANUUAAUAGCUGCAUUAUUUGACGUUAGCGACAGAANAAGCACCGGCUAACUCCGUGCCAGCAGCCGCGGUAAUACGGAGGGUGCGAGCGUUAAUCGGAAUUACUGGGCGUAAAGCGCAUGCAGGUGGNUUGNUAAGUCAGAUGUGAAAGCCCGGNNCUCNNCCUCGGAAUUGCAUUUGAAACUGGCAGACUAGAGUACUGUANAGGGGGGGUANAANUUNNGGNGNAGCGGNGAAAUGCGUAGANAUCUGAAGGAAUACCGGUG